GCUGGCGUAGCUCAGUGGUAGAGCAUAGCACUCAUAACGCUAAGGUCGCAGGUUCGAUCCCUGCCGCCAGCACCA
Molecule: transfer RNA, 75 nt
Filed under: Candidatus Liptonbacteria bacterium
Lineage: Bacteria; Candidatus Liptoniibacteriota
Description: tRNA-Met
Rfam family: tRNA
About the family: Transfer RNA (tRNA) molecules are approximately 80 nucleotides in length. Their secondary structure includes four short double-helical elements and three loops (D, anti-codon, and T loops).
Source: RNAcentral